This 536-nucleotide long non-coding RNA is filed under the name Nicotiana tabacum (common tobacco). RNAcentral describes it as "long non-coding RNA (NTAB_LNC000945)". Lineage: Eukaryota; Viridiplantae; Streptophyta; Magnoliopsida; Solanales; Solanaceae. The record is from RNAcentral.
AGGAGGAUAGUAAGGAGUUGGGGGUGGUGGUGAAGUGUAGUAGUAAGGUGGAGGAGGUGACUUAACUGGUGGUGGAGGGGAGGAGUAGUAGUAAGGUGGAGGAGGUGACUUAACUGGUGGGGGAGGGGAGGAGUAGUAGUAAGGAGGAGGAGGUGACUUAACUGGUGGUGGAGGGGAAGAGUAGUAGUACGGUGGUGGAGGUGACUUAACUGGUGGUGGAGGAGAGGAGUAGUAGUACGGUGGAGGAGGUGACUUAACUGGUGGUGGAGGGGAGGAGUAGUAGUACGGUGGAGGAGGUGACUUAGCAGGUGGUGGUGGGGACUUGUAAUAGUAAGGUGGUGGGGGAGAGGGUGAAGGGGGUGGUGGUGAUUUAUAGUAGUAUGGUGGAGGUGGUGAUGGAGAAGGUGGUGGGGGAGACUUGUAAUAAUAAGGUGGAGGUGGUGAAGGUGAAGGUGGUGGCGGGGAUUUGUAGUAAUAUGGUGGUGGAGGUGAUGGUGAAGGAGGUGGUGGUGAUUUAUAUACAUAUGGUGGUGGUG